ACAUAUAUAAUACUAUAAUAAUAGUUGAUUUCAUAAAAUAAAAGCAGAAGUUGAAGCUUGCAAAAGUGGCGUUCCAAAUUGUACACUCUUGUAAAAGUGGCGUUCCAAAUUGUACAGCUCGUUCAAAUACAUUUUCCACAUUCAAGACGUAAUUUCUACUCAAUUGAAAGAUGUAAGAAUUAGUAGCAAUUUGUUUUAUUGGAUCACUCCCAAAUAACAGAGAUUUUAGUGCGUUUACGACAGGAUUUUUUGCUGGUGAUACUUGAAACACAAUCUGAUGAGGUUUUUCUAAUUUUUCAGUUAUUUGUUACCUAAAUACUAAACGAAACAUAUUGAAGUUGAGAAGUAUGAGUUUUUGUAAGGGACUGCGUUUUGUAAAUUUAACUUUUGUGGCAGUUAAUGUAACUUUGAUUUUAUCUAGAUUCGAGGAAUACGCUGUGAAACGUCACAAAUCAAAUUGUUAAAGUUUAACAAUAUUUUACGGUGAAUUACAGUAUGAUUUUAUUUUAUAUUUGGAGCGAAAAUGAAAGUUUAGCGUGGUUUCAAAACCAUGUUUACGCUAUUCUACUGUGGUCCAAUAACCUUGGGCCUAGGUACAGCUAGCUGUGGCCGUGGUACUGUGGCCGUGGUAACAGCUAGCUGUGGCCGUGGUACUGUGGCCGUGGUAACAGCUAGCUCUGUGGCCGUGGUACUGUUACCGUGGACCCGGUAUUAAUCAGAAAAUAGCAAAACGCUAAAUAAAACUGCGUUACACGUGCAUUAUAAAAUGUAAACGUAGUUAUAUAGGAGUAUUAGAGAUUGUGUACAUAUUAUUACGUUAUCAGUAUCUUGCCCUUAUCAGUUAUCCACCCCAUUCUGGCCGGUAACAGUCAGAACAUAAUAUCUGAUUACAUCAGAACUCUGGAAAAGCUACUUAAAGAUGCUUAAUUAAUAUGUUCACGAUGCCAAAAUCGUUGAUUGAAA
Bolinopsis microptera is the source of this 963-nucleotide long non-coding RNA. RefSeq lists it as uncharacterized. The record is from RefSeq and is a predicted model, not a curated record. NCBI's taxonomy places the organism in Eukaryota, Metazoa, Ctenophora, Tentaculata, Lobata, Bolinopsidae. The transcript has 3 exons.